GUCCACGCCCUAAACGAUGUCAACUGGUUGUUGGGUCUUCACUGACUCAGUAACGAAGCUAACGCGUGAAGUUGACCGCCUGGGGAGUACGGCCGCAAGGUUGAAACUCAAAAGGAAUUGACGGGGACCCGCACAAGCGGUGGAUGAUGUGGUUUAAUUCGAUGCAACGCGAAGAACCUUACCAAGGCUUGACAUGCACUUGAAAAAACGUGGAAACACGUUCCCUCUUCGGAGCAAAGUGCACAGGUGGUGCAUGGCUGUCGU
RNAcentral lists this ribosomal RNA (264 nucleotides) under uncultured bacterium. RNAcentral's name for it is "partial 16S ribosomal RNA". It matches the Rfam family "Bacterial small subunit ribosomal RNA", at positions 793 to 1055 of the family's 1533-position model. The record is from RNAcentral.